Molecule: long non-coding RNA, 718 nt
Organism: Rhopalosiphum padi (bird cherry-oat aphid)
Lineage: Eukaryota; Metazoa; Arthropoda; Insecta; Hemiptera; Aphididae
Exons: 4
Source: RefSeq, a predicted model, not a curated record
GUGUACUAAAAAAAUAGUAAAAUAUUUUUGAUGGAUGGAACUUUUUCUGCAGCCCCAUCUUUCAAUAAUGAAUUUAGACAAUUAUAUGUCAUAAUGGGAAUUACAUUCAAUACAGUCAGUUGUAUAUAUUUAUCAUUAAAUACAUACUUGGCUUUCCGGUUGCUUUUGCUCUUAUGUCGAGAAAGACUACGAAGGCAUACGCAGCUUUAUUUGAAAAACUUCUAAGAAUUUAACCCCAAUGGCAAUCUGAAACCAUAAUAAUAGAUUUUGAACUAGCUGCUAUGGCAGGCAUUCAAUUUAUAUUUCCAGAUAUAAACAUCCAAGGUUGUUGGUUCCACAGCAGUCAGGCUAUUUGGAGGAAAAUUGGGAAUCUUGGAAUGACUGAGUUAUGCACAAGUGAUCGUGGAGCAUAUGAUACUGUCCACAUGAUAAUGGCAUUGCCAUUAAUACCGGGUAAUAAAAUGAAUGAAGGGUUUACUGUUUACAUCCAUACAAAUGUUUUAUGAAGAAAAUAUUAAACUAACAUUGUCAACCGAGAGUCAGGAAAAAUUUGAAACUUUUUUCCAAUAUUAUAGAACGACAUGGUUAACAGGUGUUUAUACAAAUAUGUUGAGUGUGAGUGGAACUGUUUGGAGAACAAAUAAUGUUUUAGAAGUAAGUCAUCAACACUUAAAGAUGCACAUUGGAAGCAACCAUCAACCCGAGCCAUGGGUAUUUC